CCAAACAUGGCAAUGAUCGUUAAGUGCCUGAGCCCAAUAGAUUGAUAUCCCGUUAUUUGAAGCUGUUUAUAUAAAUAAAUAUUAAAAUAUAUUUUAUAUAGUUUAGAUUGGAUUCCAACAUUAUCAAAUUUGGAUAUAUAUGCUAAUUACUCCAUUCGUAUCCUAAAUCGAAAUUCCUUGCACACAAGUAGAUGCGUACAAACUAAUCAUGGGACUGAGUAAUCAUUAACAAGACAUGCCAUGAAUACGACGUAGUCAAUGUUUCAUCUCCACCAAACUUCAUGUUAACAGGAGAUGCAAGUUAUGUAUUUGUACAACCUCAUAAGCCAACAAAAACUUCAUGAUUAUGACUGCAAUUCAAUCCCCUUCUCAUUCCUUAACUCCCCAGAAUUCUACGUACCUAAAUUCACUCACUAAUUACAUCUUCAGACCCAUGUCCCAUUCACUUUCCGCCAUUUGGGCAGCCUCUGUGUGGCUUGUUUUGGACAUUUCUUCAGCUCAUGUGGCAACUAUUGCUCAUUGCCUGUCCUUCCAAAAUCCAAACACCACUCUUUCGCGAAUCGGCCGUCUGUCAUGAUAAUCUUGUAUUAAUCAAAGUCUCGUACACAAUGAAUCUCGACGGUUUAUGUUCUUCGCACGUGUGUGAUGAAGUUUAUCCCUAAUCCUUUUUAAGACGACGUUGCAUUUUGUUGGGUUUAAUCAAUGGAAUGCAAGACAAAGGCAGCCUCACGACGUGGCAAGCGAAUAGACAACAGAGACAUUUGAUUCAAAACUUGUCCCCACAGGCGACUUUCUGUAAGCUACGAUUUUAAAGCAACAAAAGGCACGUGUCCUCCAUAUUUAACAAGCUUUCUACGUUGAACCACAGAGUUUCUGCUACGUCUCUCAUUAGCGCAUAAAAAACUCCAAAAGGGGAUGACGACGAAGGCAAAUUAGGGUACUUUGUUUUGACUCAUUGCACCUGGCGAAAGGCUAUUGGGUGACGUGUUGCAGCUGCUAGAUACUUGCUCCUGGGCAACUAAUCUCAUUGGCUGUAAUAAAUAUUUGUUUUAUGUUUUUUUAAUUUUGGCAAUUUAAUAUAUAGAUUUUUUAAUUGAUAUUUGGCGAAGAACCAAAGUCGGGCACGUUGAGCCUGUGGUCUCGACAAUGACUGAACCGAACAUGGCUCCAAUCGGCUUGUUGUUGGCUCGCCCGUCA
This 1197-nucleotide long non-coding RNA is filed under the name Manihot esculenta (cassava). RNAcentral's name for it is "long non-coding RNA (MESC_LNC002617)". Lineage: Eukaryota; Viridiplantae; Streptophyta; Magnoliopsida; Malpighiales; Euphorbiaceae. The record is from RNAcentral.